CCUGAGUAGUCUGGGAGGAGGGAGGCAGGCAAGGCAGAGAUGCCUGUGGCUCUCCAUAGGAAGCUCACCUCUCCACCAAAAGGAAGCGGGGUAACCAAACACAUCCGUGCUUGAGAUGUGGGUUCAAAUCUCACUUUAAGGCAGCAGAGAGUGCCUGAGGACUGGCUCCCCUACUUAAGUUCCUACCGUCAGAGCUUUAGCUUCUCAGCAGCCCUGUCCUCUAGGUUUGCAGAAACUCUGGCUCUUCCUUCCACGACCAUGUUUUUUUGGAAAGGUUAACUGCGCAUGUGUCCUCGGCUGCCUCACCGAUUGCUCUUCCACAAGCCAGUCCUUCUUCUGCCAGUCUGCGUUCAGCUUUCAUUUGUCUGCGAAAAUUGUCUCUCAACUACUAAAGCGUUGCCAACUCUCCAGUUUUAAUUGCCCAUGCAUAUUUCUGCCCCUCCCUUCUGCCUCAACCGAGUCCCUGUUCAUCCCUAGGCCUCUAGAUUUAUUAAAUUCCUUUGAUUUUUUUUAUCUA
Mus musculus (house mouse) is the source of this 517-nucleotide long non-coding RNA. RefSeq annotates it as predicted gene, 52892. The record is from RefSeq and is a predicted model, not a curated record. The transcript is spliced from 2 exons. NCBI's taxonomy places the organism in Eukaryota, Metazoa, Chordata, Mammalia, Rodentia, Muridae.